GACGAACGCUGGCGGCGCGCCUAACACAUGCAAGUCGAACGGAGUUACUCUGAAUGAAGUUUUCGGAUGGAUUUUGGAUUAACUUAGUGGCGAACGGGUGAGUAACGCGUGAGUAACCUGCCCUGGAGUGGGGGACAACAGUUGGAAACGACUGCUAAUACCGCAUAAGCCCACAGUGCCGCAUGGCACAGCGGGAAAAGGAUUUAUUCGCUUCAGGAUGGACUCGCGUCCAAUUAGCUAGUUGGUGAGGUAACGGCCCACCAAGGCGACGAUUGGUAGCCGGACUGAGAGGUUGAACGGCCACAUUGGGACUGAGACACGGCCCAGACUCCUACGGGAGGGCAGCAGUGGGGGAUAUUGCACAAUGGGGGAAACCCUGGAUGCAGCGACGCCGCGUGGAGGAAGAAGGUUUUCGGAUUGGUAAACUUCUUUUAUACGGGAAUAAGUAGCAGUAUGCAUACUGUUUUG
RNAcentral lists this ribosomal RNA (468 nucleotides) under uncultured bacterium. RNAcentral's name for it is "bacterial SSU rRNA". It matches the Rfam family "Bacterial small subunit ribosomal RNA", at positions 28 to 471 of the family's 1533-position model. The record is from RNAcentral.